GAGUUUGAUCAUGGCUCAGAUUGAACGCUGGCGGCAUGCCUUACACAUGCAAGUCGAACGGCAGCACGGGAGCUUGCUCCUGGUGGCGAGUGGCGAACGGGUGAGUAAUGCAUCGGAACGUAUCCUGGAGUGGGGGAUAACGUAGCGAAAGUUACGCUAAUACCGCAUAUUCUGUGAGCAGGAAAGCGGGGGACCUUCGGGCCUCGCGCUCUUGGAGCGGCCGAUGUCGGAUUAGCUAGUUGGUGAGGUAAAGGCUCACCAAGGCGACGAUCCGUAGCAGGUCUGAGAGGAUGAUCUGCCACACUGGAGCUGAGACACGGUCCAGACUCCUACGGGAGGCAGCAGUGGGGAAUUUUGGACAAUGGGGGCAACCCUGAUCCAGCCAUGCCGCGUGAGUG
Molecule: ribosomal RNA, 398 nt
Filed under: bacterium enrichment culture clone ALO1_GLFRUDD03FQ1FF
Lineage: Bacteria
Description: bacterial SSU rRNA
Rfam family: Bacterial small subunit ribosomal RNA
Source: RNAcentral